This 301-nucleotide ribosomal RNA is filed under the name uncultured bacterium. Its description in RNAcentral is "partial 16S ribosomal RNA". It matches the Rfam family "Bacterial small subunit ribosomal RNA", at positions 509 to 808 of the family's 1533-position model. The record is from RNAcentral.
CAGCCGCCGCGGGUAAUACGAAGGGGGCUAGCGUUGCUCGGAAUGACUGGGCGUAAAGGGCGCGUAGGCGGUUUGUACAGUUGGAUGUGAAAUUCCUGGGCUUAACCUGGGGGCUGCAUUCAAUACGUGCAGGCUUGAGUGGGGAAGAGGGUCGUGGAAUUCCCAGUGUAGAGGUGAAAUUCGUAGAUAUUGGGAAGAACACCGGUGGCGAAGGCGGCGACCUGGUCCUUGACUGACGCUGAGGCGCGAAAGCGUGGGGAGCAAACAGGAUUAGAUACCCGUGUAGUCCCUGUCUCUUAUA